UAUAAAAAAAUAAUACUCCUCCACAUUGCAACUUAUUUUCAUGUCUCCGUCUCCGUCGCUCCCUAUCCAAUCCUCCCCUCUCGCCUUGGGUCUUUCCCUGCCCCGUGUCACGGGCAAGACGGAUCUCGCCGCUGCUCCCCACCUCCCUCUCCCCGCGGCAGGCGCCGGAGAUGCAGGUGACGGCCGCCGCCUUCCUCGCCCGCCCGCUCCCACGGCUCCGCCGGUGCGCGUGCCUGCCUUAAACCCCCCUCCCUCUCGCCUCCCCCUCCGCCCCCUCGUCGUGUUAUGUUAUUCCCUGUUUGUGGCGUGCUCAGAUGGUGAUGUGGUUUUGUUCGAUUCAGCAUUGACGGCUAGGGUCCGGAUGCGCCGGCGGUGCGCGGCGGUGCCGUAGCGCUCCCGCCGCGGCUGCGGGGGUCACGGUGCUCCAUCAGCCUCUCCAUCGGUGCCGGCGCUGGCGCUGGAGGUGACCGCGAGUUCAGCUACGGUAAGAGGCGUUGAAUUCGUAGCCUUCAUUUCUUUGAAGCCUCUCUAGGUUGACUUUGGUAGGGUAACAUAUGUUUCUUUUGGGUUGCCGAUGCAUGAAGUAAGGAAUAGCUGUACUGGCCUUUAGUUAGCAAACUGAUUCUAUUCUUUUAGUUUUAUUAGUAGGUAUCCAAUCCUGCAAUGCACACUGCUCAAUGUGAUCGUGAAUUCGUGAUGAGGAAAUUGGGUCACACUGGAUAUAUAGAAUGUAUUCAGGAGAACCAUGCAUUUUGGCAGGUAACCAAAUUGCGUUUAAUAGCCUUGUAUUUUGUGGUCAGUAGCCUACUCAAAGCGUGUGUGUUGGUUGUAUAUUAGUAGCUGCAUAUUGCCAUCCAAGAAUCUGUUAGCAAGCACUGAAAGUUUCUUAUAUGUUGAGGUGUGGGAGCAAGUCUUGUGUUCUGAGAGAGCAGCAACAAUUGUGGUGAGGCAAAAGAACAUGAAGCGAUGAUGCCAGAACAGCAUAGGCUUGUCGAUGGACAUGGAUGCUUUAACAAUGUUCAGAUGACGGGAUCUAACUGUUUUCUGUUUCAGGCCUUAUGGGAUCUAACUCCUGCCUGCUACCUAAUCUGUUCUCUCAGGUACUACUACAGCUGGUGAUUGUGAUUGUUAUUCCUGUUCUCAACAUCUUGGGUAUCCUGCGACAUGUAGGAAUCACUAAUAGAACAUAUUGAAUCUUGUGCAGUUUUAUCUCUUACCAUCUAAAGUAGCAGUUAAUUUGAGGCCAACAUGAUAACACAUUCAGUUUGUGUUUCGCUUAGCUAAUCUCUGUAUGGCAACCAAGAUAUGCUUUGAUCAUAUAUCUCCUAAAUCAAUCGGACCCUUUCAAUAUUAACAUAAAUAAAGUGUCCCAGGCCUUCCCCCACCUCUGUAACUUGACUAGUGCCAAGGUGUACUGCUAAUCUGCUAAUAUAUUAGUUGAAUUCGUAAAUCCUCAUGUAUUAGGCAUUAGCUGCUGAACUAUAUAGUCCCCCCUGGAAUUAGCGGCAUUAUUGUGAGUUCUGCCUCUUAAUGCUGUUUUGUUCUAGGUCAGCUCAUUUUAGGUAAUUUACUUAUUCUUCUAUAGGGUGCUAGAAGACUGGAUGCCUAUUGAGGUCAGAUCAUUUUAGGUAAUUUACUUACUCUUCUUUAGUCUCUAGUCUCUACCCUCAAAUCGAUAGUGUCAACACUUACUACAACUCAUGCAAAUGCAGACAACAAUUGUGAAGCUAGUAAACAAUUUUCUGCAGCCAUCUUUUUGUUUCACUUGAUGUAGUUGUCAUUGCUACCUGUCUUGUCUUCAUAUUUCAUUUCUUACUGUAACCAUGCUCAUUGGUUGGUUCCAUUUAUCUUGUUUUAAUUGUAGAGAGGGACCAGAGAGAUGUGCAGAAGCUGUUGCAUUGCCAACACAAGCCUGUUAGGAAACAAUAGUUACUUGACUCCUACUUAUCAUCUUUUAUUUCUAUGGUAGCUUAGUUAAAUUGAUAAACAGAGCUCUGUAAUACAUUUGCAACAAUAGUGUUUAGAUGGCAGCUUACUUACACAUGACUAGUUGUGAACUUAAUUAAUUGAUUUAGUCUAGAGUGUUGUUAAAACAAUGCAUGAUGUUGGUGUAGUGAGAUCAUAUAUGCAUAGAUUAUUGUAACUAUUGUUUGAUUUCUUCCAGCUUACAUAUGAAAAGUUUCUUUUUGACUUUUUCAUUUGUUUCAACAAGUGAUGUUUGUUUCUAAUGUGUUUUAUACAGGAUAUGGAGAAAUUUCAGCAACCUAAGCUAUUCACUCAAGCUCCUGACACCAAAAACACCUAGCUGCCAGCACCUGUUGAACUAUUAGUGUGGUGACUAAUGUCACUUGUGAGAUAGGGAUGUGAGAUUUCCAUUUGUUUAAAUUAUCUGAGAUAACUUUGUGACUAAGUUCACUUAUUGAACUAUAAUUUGGUGUUCGUGAUGAAUGUAAUAAAUAUAUUGAUGAAUGACUUGUGAACCUGUUGGUUUGGUCAUGAAUGGAAUAUAUUGUUGGACAUAUAUUUGUUAAUGUGGAUUGUUUGAUGUGUGGGUGGGGUACGUGAUGGUAUGGAUCGAGC
RNAcentral lists this long non-coding RNA (2580 nucleotides) under Sorghum bicolor (sorghum). Its description in RNAcentral is "long non-coding RNA (SBIC_LNC009179)". Lineage: Eukaryota; Viridiplantae; Streptophyta; Magnoliopsida; Poales; Poaceae. The record is from RNAcentral.